This 468-nucleotide ribosomal RNA is filed under the name uncultured bacterium. RNAcentral's name for it is "partial 16S ribosomal RNA". The stretch from base 49 to 468 matches the Rfam family "Bacterial small subunit ribosomal RNA", at positions 39 to 507 of the family's 1533-position model. The record is from RNAcentral.
GGGGGGGGGGGGGGGGGGGCGGGAGGGGGGCGGGUCGAACGGAAGGGCGCGGCUUGGGGGGGGGGCGCGAGGGGCGAACGGGUGAGUAACACGUGAGUAACCUGCCCUUGACUUGGGGAUAACUGCAGGAAACUGGGGCUAAUACCGGAUAGGAGCGCCUGCUGCAUGGUGGGGGUUGGAAAGUGUCGGCGGUUGGGGAUGGACUCGCGGCUUAUCAGCUUGUUGGUGGGGUAGUGGCUUACCAAGGCUUUGACGGGUAGCCGGCCUGAGAGGGUGACCGGCCACAUUGGGACUGAGAUACGGCCCAGACUCCUACGGGAGGCAGCAGUGGGGAAUAUUGCACAAUGGGCGGAAGCCUGAUGCAGCAACGCCGCGUGCGGGAUGACGGCCUUCGGGUUGUAAACCGCUUUCGCCUGUGACGAAGCGUGAGUGACGGUAAUGGGUAAAGAAGCACCGGCUAACUACGUG